This 459-nucleotide ribosomal RNA is filed under the name uncultured bacterium. RNAcentral describes it as "partial 16S ribosomal RNA". It matches the Rfam family "Bacterial small subunit ribosomal RNA", at positions 338 to 795 of the family's 1533-position model. The record is from RNAcentral.
CCUACGGGAGGCAGCAGUGAGGAAUAUUGGUCAAUGGGCGAGAGCCUGAACCAGCCAUGCCGCGUGAAGGCGAGUGCCCUACGGGCGUUAAACUUCUUUUGUGCGGGAGCAAUAAUGGCCACGCGUGGCCCGAUGAGAGUACCGCACGACUAAGCAUCGGCUAACGCCGUGCCAGCAGCCGCGGUAAUACGGGGGAUGCCAGCGUUAUCCGGAUUUAUUGGGUUUAAAGGGUGCGUAGGUGGAGAUUCAGGUCAGUUGUGAAAGUUCGCGGCUCAACCGCGGAAUUGCCGUUGAAACUGGGAGGCUAGAGUUCCGAUGCGGUGGGAGGAAUUCGUGGUGUAGCGGUGAAAUGCAUAGAUAUCACGCAGAACACCGAUUGCGAAGGCAGCUCACGAAUCGGAGAUUGACGCUGAGGCACGAAAGUGUGGGUAUCAAACAGGAUUAGAUACCCGAGUAGUC